This is a non-coding RNA of Schistosoma mansoni, 46 nucleotides long. The record is from Rfam. Lineage: Eukaryota; Metazoa; Platyhelminthes; Trematoda; Strigeidida; Schistosomatidae.
GCACUGCUGAAUGGUCCCAUAAUAGGACGAAACGGUCGUCCAGUGC